AUGUGAACCAUACCAAACUGUUGCCUCGGCGGGGUCACGCCCCGGGUGCGUCGCAGCCCCGGAACCAGGCGCCCGCCGGAGGGACCAACCAAACUCUUUUCUGUAGUCCCCUCGCGGACGUUAUUUCUUACAGCUCUGAGCAAAAAUUCAAAAUGAAUCAAAACUUUCAACAACGGAUCUCUUGGUUCUGGCAUCGAUGAAGAACGCAGCGAAAUGCGAUAAGUAAUGUGAAUUGCAGAAUUCAGUGAAUCAUCGAAUCUUUGAACGCACAUUGCGCCCGCCAGUAUUCUGGCGGGCAUGCCUGUCCGAGCGUCAUUUCAACCCUCGAACCCCUCCGGGGGGUCGGCGUUGGGGACCUCGGGAGCCCCUAAGACGGGAUCCCGGCCCCGAAAUACAGUGGCGGUCUCGCCGCAGCCUCUCCUGCGCAGUAGUUUGCACAACUCGCACCGGGAGCGCGGCGCGUCCACGUCCGUAAAACACCCAACUUCUGAAAUGUUGACCUCGGAUCAGGUAGGAAUACCCGCUGAACUUAAGCAUAUCAAUAA
Molecule: ribosomal RNA, 545 nt
Filed under: Trichoderma atroviride
Lineage: Eukaryota; Fungi; Ascomycota; Sordariomycetes; Hypocreales; Hypocreaceae
Description: eukaryotic LSU rRNA
Rfam family: 5.8S ribosomal RNA (bases 162-315)
Source: RNAcentral